This 252-nucleotide ribosomal RNA is filed under the name uncultured bacterium. RNAcentral's name for it is "partial 16S ribosomal RNA". It matches the Rfam family "Bacterial small subunit ribosomal RNA", at positions 524 to 776 of the family's 1533-position model. The record is from RNAcentral.
UAGGAAGGGGGCUAGCGUUAUCCGGAAUUACUGGGCGUAAAGGGUGCGUAGGCGGCCCAACAAGUCAGAGGUGAAAGGCUACGGCUCAACCGUAGUAAGCCUUUGAAACUGUAGGGCUUGAGUGCAGGAGAGGAGAGUGGAAUUCCCGGUGUAGCGGUGAAAUGCGUAGAUAUUGGGAGGAACACCAGUUGCGAAGGCGACUCUCUGGACUGUAACUGACGCUGAGGCACGAAAGCGUGGGGAGCUAACAGG